UCCCCGCCUGCUGUCCCCGCAAGGUGGCGCCUUGGACGCGGGCGCACAGCCCGGGAGAGGCUCAGGAAGCCCAGGGCCCGGCCCGGCAGCCUGCAGCCCGAGGGCUUCGCCCCUCCCGAAGGCCCUGAGCUCCAUUCUAGGCGUUCAGACGGGACAAGGGCGGUGGAAGAUGAAAUGAGAACCAGAGUUUGACAAAGAACUGGCAAAAUAAAAGAAAACUCACACAGGACUUAGGAAGAGAGAAAAUCUUCAUCGGGAAGUUCUGAUGGAAAGGAACCUGCAUCCACAGUGCUGACGACUUCUGCAGAGGGGAGCGUCCUGAGGAGGAGGCGGACACAAUUGCCUGUGGUGCCACACUAAAGACGUCCCAAGACACAUGCUGCCACCUGGCAUUCAACCCAGACUCCCAGUACAUUUAAGAAGCAUAGUCGUGGACCAGAAAAUCAGACUCUGGAAGUGGCUCUGCAUUUCUGGGAUCCUCCGGCUGAAGGAGGAUGUGGUUUGCCAAGAUAUCCACCCGGCUGACCUCAAAUUCGCAGAGAGCAGUCCCGAGCCCCAGCCAAGCUCACAGGACGACUUUGAAACGUGCCCUGGCACCCAUCAAAGUUACACGCGUGGACUGCGGAGUGCAGGACGAAUUUGAUUUGAAGUUUCGCUGAACCCUUGAGAGACUUCUGGGUCAUGAGC
Molecule: long non-coding RNA, 687 nt
Filed under: Homo sapiens (human)
Lineage: Eukaryota; Metazoa; Chordata; Mammalia; Primates; Hominidae
Description: non-protein coding lnc-DLX2-10:1
Source: RNAcentral